RNAcentral lists this ribosomal RNA (496 nucleotides) under uncultured bacterium. RNAcentral's name for it is "partial 16S ribosomal RNA". It matches the Rfam family "Bacterial small subunit ribosomal RNA", at positions 29 to 507 of the family's 1533-position model. The record is from RNAcentral.
AUGAACGCUGGCGGCGUGCCUAAUACAUGCCAGUCGAGCGAACGGACGAGAAGCUUGCUUCUCUGAUGUUAGCGGCGGACGGGUGAGUAACACGUGGAUAACCUACCUAUAAGACUGGGAUAACUUCGGGAAACCGGAGCUAAUACCGGAUAAUAUUUUGAACCGCAUGGUUCAAAAGUAAAAGACGGUCUUGCUGUCACUUAUAGAUGGAUCCGCGCUGCAUUAGCUAGUUGGUAAGGUAACGGCUUACCAAGGCAACGAUGCAUAGCCGACCUGAGAGGGGGAUCGGCCACACUGGAACUGAGACACGGUCCAGACUCCUACGGGAGGCAGCAGUAGGGAAUCUUCCGCAAUGGGCGAAAGCCUGACGGAGCAACGCCGCGUGAGUGAUGAAGGUCUUCGGAUCGUAAAACUCUGUUAUUAGGGAAGAACAUAUGUGUAAGUAACUGUGCACAUCUUGACGGUACCUAAUCAGAAAGCCACGGCUAACUACGUG